RNAcentral lists this ribosomal RNA (254 nucleotides) under uncultured prokaryote. RNAcentral describes it as "partial 16S ribosomal RNA". It matches the Rfam family "Bacterial small subunit ribosomal RNA", at positions 525 to 777 of the family's 1533-position model. The record is from RNAcentral.
ACAGAGGGGGCAAGCGUUAUUCGGAAUUAUUGGGCGUAAAGGGCGCGUAGGCGGCCACCGCAAGUCGACUGUGAAAUCUCCGGGCUUAACUCGGAAAGGUCAGCCGAUACUGCGGGGCUAGAGUGCAGAAGGGGCAACUGGAAUUCUUGGUGUAGCGGUGAAAUGCGUAGAUAUCAAGAGGAACACCUGCGGCGAAGGCGGGUUGCUGGGCUGACACUGACGCUGAUGCGCGAAAGCUAGGGGAGCAAACGGGA